CAAUGGACGAAAGUCUGACGGAGCAACGCCGCGUGAGUGAAGAAGGUUUUCGGAUCGUAAAACUCUGUUUUCAGGGACGAAUGUGUGGAUUGUAAAUAAUGAUUCAUAAUGACGGUACCUGACAAGAAAGCCACGGCUAACUACGUGCCAGCAGCCGCGGUAAUACGUAGGUGGCAAGCGUUGUCCGGAAUUAUUGGGCGUAAAGCGCGCGCAGGUGGGAUAAUCAGUCUGAUGUGAAAGUUCGGGGCUUAACCCCGUGAAGCAUUGGAAACUAUUAUUCUUGAGUGCAGGAGAGGAAAGUGGAAUUCCUAGUGUAGCGGUGAAAUGCGUAGAUAUUAGGAGGAACACCAGUGGCGAAGGCGACUUUCUGGACUGUGUCUGACACUGAGGCGCGAAAGCCAGGGUAGUGAACGGGAUUAGAUACCCCGGUAAUCCUGGCCGUAAACGAUGGGUACUAGGUGUUGGGGGUAUCGACCCCUCCAGUGCCGGAGUUAACGCAAUAAGUACCCCGCCUGGGGAGUACG
RNAcentral lists this ribosomal RNA (524 nucleotides) under uncultured bacterium. RNAcentral describes it as "bacterial SSU rRNA". It matches the Rfam family "Bacterial small subunit ribosomal RNA", at positions 369 to 884 of the family's 1533-position model. The record is from RNAcentral.